RNAcentral lists this ribosomal RNA (254 nucleotides) under uncultured bacterium. Its description in RNAcentral is "partial 16S ribosomal RNA". It matches the Rfam family "Bacterial small subunit ribosomal RNA", at positions 524 to 777 of the family's 1533-position model. The record is from RNAcentral.
GACGAACCGUGCGAACGUUGUUCGGAUUCACUGGGCUUAAAGGGCGCGUAGGCGGGCGGUCAAGUCAGGGGUGAAAUCUUUCGGCUCAACCGGAAAAGUGCCUUUGAUACUGGCCGUCUCGAGGGGGGUAGGGGCAUGCGGAACUUCCGGUGGAGCGGUGAAAUGCGUAGAUAUCGGAAGGAACGCCGGUGGCGAAAGCGGCGUGCUGGACCUCUUCUGACGCUGAGGCGCGAAAGCCAGGGGAGCAAACGGGG